This 459-nucleotide ribosomal RNA is filed under the name uncultured bacterium. RNAcentral's name for it is "partial 16S ribosomal RNA". It matches the Rfam family "Bacterial small subunit ribosomal RNA", at positions 338 to 795 of the family's 1533-position model. The record is from RNAcentral.
CCUACGGGAGGCAGCAGUGAGGAAUAUUGGGCAAUGGGCGCGAGCCUGAACCAGCCAAGUAGCGUGAAGGAUGACUGCCCUACGGGUUGUAAACUUCUUUUAUAAAGGAAUAAAGUGAGGCACGUGGGCCUUGUUGUAUUUACUUUAUGAAUAAGGAUUGGCUAACUCCGUGCGAGCAGCCGCGGUAAUACGGAGGAUCCGAGCGUUAUCCGGAUUUAUGGGGUUUAAAGGGAGCGUAGGUGGGUUGUUAGGUCGGUUGUGAAAGUUGGCGGCUUAACGGUAAAGUUGCAGUUGCUACUGGCAGUCUUAGUGCAGUUGAGGUAGGCGGAAUUCGUGGUGUAGCGGUGAAAUGCUGAGAUAUCACGAAGAACUCCGAUUGCGAGGGCAGCUUACUAAGCUGCCGCUGACAUUGAUGCUCGAAAGUGUGGGUAUCAAACAGGAUUAGAUACCCGUGUAGUC